CGGGGUGAGUAACGCGUGGGUAACCUGCCUCACACAGGGGGAUAGCAGUUGGAAACGGCUGAUAAUACCGCAUAAGCGCACAGUACCGCAUGGUACAGUGUGAAAAACUCCGGUGGUGUGAGAUGGACCCGCGUCUGAUUAGCUUGUUGGCAGGGUAACGGCCUACCAAGGCAACGAUCAGUAGCCGACCUGAGAGGGUGACCGGCCACAUUGGGACUGAGACACGGCCCAG
RNAcentral lists this ribosomal RNA (232 nucleotides) under uncultured bacterium. RNAcentral describes it as "partial 16S ribosomal RNA". It matches the Rfam family "Bacterial small subunit ribosomal RNA", at positions 104 to 334 of the family's 1533-position model. The record is from RNAcentral.